GGGAACACCAGUUGUAACUUUCGAAAAAUCAAUUUUUUUUUUUGUGCAUUUUCUUAAAGUACACAUAUUUAGAAAUGUGUCUGUAAAUUUCAAAGUUGAUCCGGUGAAAAAUAAAUGAGAUAUACAGAACACUGCAUCGGCGCGUCCCGUGGCUUCAUACAAGGUGGCCAGCCAUAACUGACCCUAACGACAGAUGGCCUUUUCCUAUGAUUUAGAAACGGCAACCACUGCGGAAGAGUUAUUAUAUGGUCCAAGAAUCGAUGACUCUUUGUAACUUGGAAACAAAAUUUCUUCUGAACAAAAAAAAACGAAGUAUACUUGCAGAAUGCUGGUCACCGCAAUUCGCCUUUUUUCUUAAGACGCCACUUCAAUGGCUCAUAUCUCCAAAAGUUUUUGUUAAAAAAAUUUUUUUUUUCUUUUAAAUUACAGCUUUUUACAUGUACUUUUAACUAAUAAAUAGUAUUCUUUAAAAA
Leptopilina boulardi is the source of this 473-nucleotide long non-coding RNA. RefSeq lists it as uncharacterized. The record is from RefSeq and is a predicted model, not a curated record. NCBI's taxonomy places the organism in Eukaryota, Metazoa, Arthropoda, Insecta, Hymenoptera, Figitidae. The transcript has 2 exons.